UGCUGUGUUCCUGGCCCUGGCUUGUUCAGCCGACCCGGCUUCAUUGGUCCUCCUGGUGCCUGAGUAAUCAGGAGAAGCCUUGGCAUGUGAAACUUAGAGGCCAAAGCUAAUGCAAAGUAGAGAACCUGGCGUUUUGUGAGGCAAACGGGGUGUGGAGUUUCUAAAUUUGGUAUCCAGUAGUUGCCAAAAAGUUCCAAAGUCCUGAAGAGGCCACGGAGGUGUUCCUAGACAGACCACUGGACUUGCGCUCUGGCCCACAGGUUUCUUAACUGUGGGAAUAGGGGGUGCCCAGUGCAGUUCCAGGGUCUUCCUUCCCAGUUCUCCUCCCAAGCAAUGGCUUUCUCCUGGCUUUGAUUCUAAAUAGCAAAUUAUUUUUCCUUUCUUGUUUGGGAACAGUCUUUGUUUCAGUUCAAAACUUAUUCAUUUGGCUUGGCUCGUGAGAGGAAUGUUUUUCAAAUUUAUGUCCAUUUAUUUCAUGUUUCACUGCUGGUUUUCACAAGCUUGGGCGACACAUUGCAAGCACCCCACUUUUCCCCCGCAGCAUUGCUCUCCUGAGCGUUUAGUGACCUCCUGUUCCUUGGGAUUUCUUGUAGCAUAUUUGUCCUCAGCAGUAACUUCACUAUUGGUUUCAUAGCCCCAUCUCAGGCUCUGGGACAGCGACAGGUGCCAAUAUACAGUCUGACCAGGUAGCUUCUUUCACGGUGGCAUUUCAAAAUGUUUCUGCUUUUUCUCCCUGGGUGGAUUUAUGUCCUAAAGCAGUUGACAGGGCUGCUUCCCUCCUACCCGUUUUUUUCUAGUGUGUCUUGUUUGCGGAUCCAGCCCAGAUCCUCACACAAGUACUGUCCACCGAGCCACAAUUCACCCAACACCCCUCCUUUUGGGUAGAAGUAGCUAACAUAAAACAUCAGUGCUUAGAUUAAGUUACUAGUUUAGCACUCUAGGCUGCCCUUGGAGAAUGGAGAGAAGCAAAGUGGCUUUCUUUUACUUUUUUCUUAAUGGAAGUAGACAUGUGCAUGCUACUGCUCAUGUGUGGAAGAGCUUUCAAAAGUUGGUUUUCUCCUACUGUGUGGGUUCCACAGCUGAAACUCAUGACAUCAUGCUCGGCAGUAAGUGGCUUUAUCUCCUGAGCCAUCUCCGAGCCUUCAUUUGGUUUCAGACAAAACCUCAUGUAUCUCAAGCUGAUUUCUAGUUCCCUGUGUAGCCCAGGAUAACUCCAAACUUCUUGUCCUCCUUUGUGUAACUCUGCAUGUUGGUGUACCGACCAUCUCUAGUUGGGCUUUCUCCUGUCGUUUUAAUGUGAUUUGGGGGAUGAAGCCCAAGGCUUUGUGUGUGCAAGCAUGCUACCAACUGAGCUACAUUUCCAGGCCUCAAGUGGUUUUACUCUUUUGUGUGUUUGUUGUCGGGGAGGGUUUGAGACAGGGUUUCUCUGUAUUCCUGGCUGUCUUGGAAAGCAGCUGUAGACCAGGCUAGCCUCAAAUUCAGAGAUCCUCCUGCCUGUGCCUCCCAAGUGCUGGAAUUAAAGGGGUUUGCUGCCUUCACCCAGCUCUUUGUUUUUAAAGACUUAAUUUUAUUUUGUAUUUGUCUGUGUAUGGGUGUGGUUAUGUGCACAUGAGUACAGGUGCUUUGGAGCUGGAGUUAUGGGUGUUUGUAAGCUGUCUAAUGUGGGUCCUGAGAAGGGAAUUCAAGUACUCUGGAAGAGGAGCAAGUGUCUUUUAGCUGCUGAGUGGGAAUGGGUUCAUCUGCAUGUAUUACCUCAGAUUUGCUUGUUUUCCUGGUACAGCAGAGAGAGAGAAAGAGAUAUGUUCAAAAGCUUAGCACUGCCAGGAGGAGCCUACCAGGAAAAGGGCUGUUGCUGCAGGCUCCACUUUCUAGGCCUUGUUAGAUCUGUUAACAGUUACCACAUGGCUCUGUCCCUCCUGAAGGAGAUGCCACUUUUCAACCCCAGGAAAACAUGCUAUUGUUUGUGAUAGUUGUUUAUCGUUUUCCAUAUAUUCUGGUCUGUGGCUGCUGUACUCCUGCUGCAUGGGAAGAAGUAAAUUCAUGAACACAAAUGUUUGGGUUAAGACAGGGUACCAGCAACACAUGCCAGUGCCCUCCACUGUGAAGUGGAAAGGGGUGGUGCUGCCUGACCGCUUACGCUUAGUUCUGGAGACCUGAGUCUGCACUGAGUUGGUAGAGCCUCCUUCAGGUCUGGGGAACUGUUCCCCCACCAGAUGGGUUCUGUGAACCCAUUCCUUAGAACUUUCCAGAAUCAGCACACUUCCCUAUGCCUCUGCUAGCCUGGGCAUCAUUUAUGUGUAGAAAUGAGGUAGGCAUAGGUAAAUACUAAAACCUGGACAUUGUGGGUCACAGUAGUGAUGUUUUCUUGGUACAUAGAGCAACACCCUGUCUCAAAAAACAAGUUGACAAAAAGCUUGAAACUUUUUUCCAACCUAGUAUUAACUAAUGAAGUUAAACAUUUCCCCAUUGCUCUAACUAAUUUUCCUUCUUUUUCUUUUUUUCUCUCGUGUCCUUUUCUUCUUUCAUUCCUUUUGUAACUCAGAUUGCAGUCCUAUCUCUGCAAGCUGAGUGCUUGGAUUUUGUUGUGACCAACACACAUGACUUCAUUUUUUAUUUACUGUUUCCACAUAUAUUUGGAGUUCACAUGAAAUUGUAUGUAUUAAGUUUCUUGUGCUGGCUCUCAGUGUGUGUGCAUGUUGUAUGUGUGUACGCUCACACAUGUGUUUAUCAACAUCUCGAGGUCUUGCUACUUUCAUAAGUUCUAUAGGCAUACUCCGUGAUGGUGAUCAGCGCUUCUUCCGGGUUAGCUAGGGCUACUCAACAGCAAAAAAUGCCAACAGGUUUAGCCAAGUGUACCUGCCUCCACCAGCUGCCUCAGCAUCUGCCAACCUUGCUGUGCCCAAUAGCUUUCACUUCACUUUCCAGACCUUGCUUGGAAGAGUCAACUAGAGCAAGGCUGGGGACAAAAGGCUGCAACCUGUUACAAAAAAAGAAAAAGAAAAGGAAAGGAAAGGAAAAGAAAUAAAAAGAUUGCUGAUUCAGUCCUAGCAACUUGAAUUCAACCCCAGGGACCCUCAAAGUAAAAGGAGAAAAUGGAUUUGUAAGUUGUCAUUGGACCUCCAUAAGUAAAUAAAUGUAUCUCUUUGUAAAUUUUUUUCUUUUUAGGUUUAUUUAUUUGUUGUUUUGUUUUGUUUUGUUUUUUUGAGGCAGGGUUUCUCUGUGUAGCCCUAGCUGUUCUAGAAUUCACUCUAUAGACCAUUCUGGCCUCGAACUCAGAGACCUGCCUGCCUCUGCCUCCCAAAUGCUGGACUUAAAGGUGUAGGCCACUACCACCCAGCUUAUUUUUUUAUUUUUUGAGACACAGUUCUCUCUGUGUAGAUCUCUGUCCUGGAGCUCAAUGCCUUAAAGUCUUAUAUAAAUGAGGCAUGCUUUUUUUUUUUUUUUUUUUUUGUAGCCCUGGCUGUCCUUGAACUUGCUGUGUAGUCCAUGCUGUUCUCAAACUCAGAGAUCUGCCUGCCUCUGCCUCCCAAGUGCUGGAAUUAAAGACCACCGCCUGUCUGUUUUUUAUUUUUUGAAACAGGGUUUCACUAUGUAGCCUUGACUGGCCUGCAACUCACUAUGUAGACUAGGCUAUCUGUGAACUUAAAGAGAACCACCUGCUUCUUCCUCCCAGUGCUAAAGGCAUUCUCCCACAUCAGAAAAUGUAAUAAUAAAAAAUAAAUAAAAAGAAAGAGGCUUGGGGCGGGGACAGAUGACUCAGGGUUAAUAUGCUGUUGCUCUUUUAGAGGAAAUGGGUUUGUUUCCCUGAGCACCUACAUGGCUGCUAACAUUUGGAAACCCCAGUUCCAGAGGAGGCAACACCCUCUUCAGAUCUCUGUGGGAACUGUAUGCCCAUAAUAAAUAAGUAAAUCUUAGUCUGUCUGUUUUCUUUCUUUAUCUAUUUGUGCAUUGAGUGCUCUAUCUGCAUGUACGUCUACCCACCAGAAGAGGACAUCAGAGUUCAGUAUAUAGGUUGUGAGCCACCAUGUGGCUGCUGGGAAUUGAACUCAGGACCUCUAGAAGAGCAGACAGUGCUUUUACCAGCUGAGCCAUCUCUCCAGCCCUGUCUGUUUUCUUAAAGACUACAACAGUGGAUUGGAACCUGAGAGCCGGAUGGUAGCCACUCUGUCUCGCCUUGAGAAACUAAUUAGCAAUCCAACCUUAAUGGGCACAAAGUCCGGUGAUGUCCAUGUUCUUGAUCCUCUGCACUUUCAUUCUGGCCGUGAUACAGGGUCUUCCUUUCCUCCCCUGUGAAAUAGCACCAUAGUGCUAAAACCCACAGAAUCUGUUUGCUUGGCAGAAUGGGCUUGAACUCUGCCUCCUAUGUUUUGUUCACAUCUGUCUCCAGCAAACACAAAGCCAGAGUCUGGGAGACCAAACAGUCUGUGUAGUCCAGCUUCUGGGACAAAGGUCGAAUGUACCAGGGUCUGUGUAAUCUAAUGGCCAGGACAAGGCCCUGGCCACACUCUGUUGGUGAUGCCCUCAGUCACUAACUUCAGAGGUGCCUCUGGCCCGUGAUAUGUGGUGUGCUACAGCCCCACCUUGUCCUAGUCAUCUGCCCUGUGGUGAUGAGGUGAAUUUGGGCUUUCACACUAGAGCAGAGCAGAUCUGUGUUGCUGCCUACCACAUCCAGAGCAGAGCCCAGGAAGCCUUCAAAUGCCAGUGUGGACACUUGCUCCCAGCACAUAGUUUUUGGUGAUAAUUGGCAUUUUGACAAACCACCCACUCUGUUAGUAAUGACCUAACAAGGCGCUGUAUGGAAGGCCGGCACAGGGCACAGAAACUCCGACAGGCCAUGGUCAGGGCCAGGCAGCUACUCUUCUAGUUUUUAAAAUGACAUUUGUUUACCUAGUUUUUUUGUAUAGGGAUAGGUUCAGAUGUACAUAUCAUGUCUGUGGAGGUCAAAGGAGUUGAUUUUCUCUUCCAUAGUGUGGGUUCGAGGGAUGGAGCCCAGACCCUCACACUUGAAUGUGGAUGUUUGAGAGUGAGUUGAACCCAUGGAGGCAUCUGGAAUGGAGAGAAAAUGAGCUAUAUAGUGAGGCCCUGUCCCAAAAGAGGAAAGACUGUUAGUAUAUGUAUGUGUUUUCAUUUUCUUAGCAGUGUCAUAUAAAAGGUAAAGUGAGUGUGGCCGCAUAGGCCUGUUGUCCUCGUUACUCAGGAGGACAAGAGAAAGACUGCCAGGGUUGAUCCCAGGACUCCAGAGACAGGUCAGACAGAACAGACAGGGUUACACAGAGAAAACUUGUCUCCAAAAAAAGAAUACACACACACACACAAACACAUGCGAUAGGUUGGGAGUACAGUUCAGUGGUAGAGUGCUUCCGUAGCAAGUGUAAGGCCCUAGGUUUAAUCCCUAACAACACAGAGCGGAAGAUCUUAAAGGUCAUGAUUUAUUUUUCUAACACUUCUCUUUUUGUUUUGUUUUGAGACAGGGUUUCUCUGUGUAGCCCUGGCUGUCCUGAAUCUCACUCUGUAGACCAGGCUGGCCUUGAACUUACAGAGAUCCACUUGCCUGUGCCUCCUGAGCACUGGGAUCAAAGGUGUGCGCCACCUCACCCAGCUUUCCUAACAGUUCUAAAACAUAGUUUGAUCCUACACAUUUGUAAUCUAUUUUGAGUUAAUAUUUGUGAUAAGAGGAAAUAGUUCAGUUUUCAGACUUUUUCACUGGCUGUCCAUCUGUUUAACACUACUUGAAGGUUCUCUCUUUGUUGAAUCACCUCAGCACCUUUGUCAAGACCCUAUGGCUAGGCUAGGGUGUAGCUCAGAGAGUAGCAUGCACUCAAAACAACACACAAAGAUGUUUCUGGACAAUUUGUUCUGUUGUUUGAUACUGGAGUUGAGCACAGUGCUGCUGCUGGGCCUCAGCCUUUUAGACUUUGAGACAGUUUGUUGCUCAGGUAAGACUUGAACCUGUCAUUGUCCUCCUUCUGUCUCUCAAGCAACUAGGACUCCAGAUCUGUGCCACCAGCCCCAGCUGUCUGUGUCUUUGGUUUCAUUGCUAUAUAGACCUAACUGGCCUCAAAUUUGCAGUGGCCUUCUUGUGCCUCUGCCUCUCAAAUCCUUAUUCUGAUUUAUUUGAUUUAAGUAAGUGGGACAUAGAAAUUGUCUUGUUUAAAAAAAAAAAAGUAAAUAGCUAAUUAAAGCUCCUCUGGUGAUUAUAAACUGUAAGAAUCAGCUUAUGGUGUUGGAGAGAUGGCUCAGUGGUUAAGAGCAGCGUCUGCUCUUCCUAAAAGGACCCAGGUUCAAUUCCCAGCACCCACAUGGCAGCUCACAACUGUCUGUAACCCCAAUUCCAAUGGAUCUGACACCUUCACACAUAAAAUUAAAUAAAUGAUUUAAAAAAAAAAAAGAAUCAGCUUAUUUCCUCACGGGCCUUAGAAUGGCCUCCAUAGGCUUAUCCAUAGUAGAUUUUUCUUCUGCUUUCCCUGCCAUGGUCACACAUGUCUUAGUUAUUUGUGCUACUGUAACAGCAUCACAGACUGGGUGGUUUGAAGUGAUUUACUGGAGACUGAAAUCAACUCACCGAUGGAGAACUCUACCCUAGCACCCUGUGCUACUCAAACUGGGCAGGUCUGAGUGGAGGGAGCUCUCUGAUAGCUCUUCAAAGGGCACUAAUGAGCUGGCCAGUGGGCAGAAAUGGGCAGAGUUCCAGGACAGCCAGGGCUAUUACGGGGAGAAACCCUGUGUUGGCAGCAGGGAGGCACUAAUGAACAUCAGGGCCCCACCCUGUGACUCAAGUCCUCAGAGGCCCUUCUCCAGAUACAGUGGUAGUUAGAGCUUCAUGAUAAGCUCAAGCAUGUUGAUUGGCCUGGAAGUGCAGGACUGUUACCCAAUCUACUUUGGAGGCUGAGGCAGAAAGAUCACAAGUUCAAGGCCUGUGUGGGUAACUGUCUCAAAAAAUAAAGCAGCUUGGGUUAUAUAGCUCAGUGGUAAAGUGAGGGGUGUCUUACAGGGAAGCAAACCACGUGAAGAGUUAAGAACGAAAACCUGACACAGAUUGACGUCCUUCAGGGAGUCUACAACAGGUGGUUUAUUCCCAAAUGUUAUUUAAGCCCAAUAUAAUUUGGAAAUAGUUUCCUGGUGUGGUACAAUCCCCCAGUGCACAAGGAAGCAGAAUUAUAUCAAACUCAACUCAGGAUAGUGUCAUUUCUUCCCAGAAUAUGGCUUCUAAAGAUAGGCUUCCUAUAACUAGCUUAAGGGCCUGAGGAUCCGGCCAUACAGAUAGUGUGGAGGCCGUUUGUGCUAUCAGCCAUCGCUGGUCUUGUUUGUAGGAACUCGAUAUAGCCUGGCCUAGCAGAUAAAAUAUCACCAGCUGUUAAUCACUUCCAAUUCUCAGCCUUCUGGAUAGAAUAACAGGUUUUUCAUCUUUCCUAUUGGAAGGAGAAUUUUGUGUGCUUACCAUUCCUGGUUUCUCUGGAGUUCUGUGGAUGCUGUACUCCCAACAUAGAGUACUUGCUUAGCAUGAUUGAGGCCUUGGUUCAGUCCCAUGACUGCUAGGGAGUUUGGGGGCCGUUUAGACCACAGCACUAUUUCAUCUGGGAUUUACACUAACUUACUUUCCCCUCCCCAACCCUGCAGACAGAAUUUCUCUAUGUAGACCAGGCUGGCCUCUAACUCAAGAGAUUUUCUUAUCCCUCCCCACCCCCCUUCCCUAGCACUGGAUCAAAGGUACUCAAAUUAGUAGGAAGGAGCUAGAGAGUUUAGUGUAGGGGGUGGGGUGAGCAGUGCUGAGAGGAGGCAUAGGUACUAAGACUUGACUCAGGUUUCUUUGGGACCUGACAAAAGUGAGUUCUAGGACAGCCUGAACUAUAGAAUGAAGACCUUGUCUCAAAAGAGAAAAAGGGGUCAAGAGUGCUCAUUGCUCUUGCAGAGGACCCAGGUUUGAUUCAUGGCACCCACACAGUGGCUCACAACGAUCUGUAACUCCAGUUCCAGGGGAUUCAAUGCCCUGUUUCUGACUUCGGUUCUUGCCAUGACUGCCUUCAGUGAUGGACUGUGACCUGGGAUCUCCAUUUUGAAGUUCUGGCUGUUCUGGAUUCUCUGUGUAGAUCAAGGCGACCUCAAACUCAGUGAUCCACCUGCCUCCUGGGUUCAUGGGCUUUCAUCACCAUGCCUAGCCUUCUUUGUUGUUUUGUUUUAAAGACAGGAGUCUAACUGUAGCCCUGGAUGGUCUGGAACUAACAGAUCUGAUUGCCACUGUGUCCCAAGAGAUGGUAUUAAAGACUUGUAUUCCCUCA
Meriones unguiculatus (Mongolian gerbil) is the source of this 8276-nucleotide long non-coding RNA. RefSeq lists it as uncharacterized. The record is from RefSeq and is a predicted model, not a curated record. Lineage: Eukaryota; Metazoa; Chordata; Mammalia; Rodentia; Muridae. The transcript is spliced from 3 exons.